CCUACGGGUGGCAGCAGUGGGGAAUAUUUCACAAUGGGGGAAACCCUGAUGCAGCAACGCCGCGUGAGUGAUGACGGCCUUCGGGUUGUAAAGCUCUGUCUUCAGGGACGAUAAUGACGGUACCUGAGGAGGAAGCCAAGGCUAACUACGUGCCAGCAGCCGAGGUAAUACGUAGGUGGCGAGAGUUGUCCGGAUUUACUGGGCGUAAGGGGAGCGUAGGCGGACUUUUAAGUGAGAUGUGAAAUACGCGGGCUUAACUUGAGUGCUGCAUUUCAAACUGGAAGUCUAGAGUGCAGGAGAGGAGAAUGGAAUGCCGAGUGUAGCGGUGAAAUGCGUAGAGAUUAGGAAGAACACCAGUGGCGAAGGCGAUUCUCUGGACUGUAACUGACGCUGAGGCUCGAAAGUGUGGGUAUCAAACAGGAUUAGAUACCCCUGUAGUC
This 440-nucleotide ribosomal RNA is filed under the name uncultured bacterium. Its description in RNAcentral is "partial 16S ribosomal RNA". It matches the Rfam family "Bacterial small subunit ribosomal RNA", at positions 338 to 795 of the family's 1533-position model. The record is from RNAcentral.